UACGUAGGGUGCAAGCGUUAUCCGGAAUUAUUGGGCGUAAAGAGCUCGUAGGCGGUUUGUCGCGUCUGCUGUGAAAACUGGAGGCUCAACCUCCAGCCUGCAGUGGGUACGGGCAGACUAGAGUGCGGUAGGGGAGAUUGGAAUUCCUGGUGUAGCGGUGAAAUGCGCAGAUAUCAGGAGGAACACCGGUGGCGAAGGCGGGUCUCUGGGCCGAUACUGACGCUGAGGCGCGAAAGCGUGGGGAGCAAACGGG
RNAcentral lists this ribosomal RNA (253 nucleotides) under uncultured bacterium. Its description in RNAcentral is "partial 16S ribosomal RNA". It matches the Rfam family "Bacterial small subunit ribosomal RNA", at positions 524 to 776 of the family's 1533-position model. The record is from RNAcentral.